This 171-nucleotide non-coding RNA is filed under the name Anaeroplasma bactoclasticum. Lineage: Bacteria; Bacillati; Mycoplasmatota; Mollicutes; Anaeroplasmatales; Anaeroplasmataceae. The record is from RNAcentral.
AAACCAGUGAUGGAGCGUGAAAAGAAGUAAUAGCGAAAUAGUGGCCCAACGAACAGAAACUUGAUAAUGAGGCCCAUUAGGCGGAUAAGUUGGCAAGACACAACAAAGUCCAAAAGGCAAUCGUAACCCUAAUCGGUAAAUCAAGUGGGUAAACUAGGAAAGAUUUAUGGC